Molecule: RNA transcript, 3679 nt
Organism: Bufo gargarizans (Asiatic toad)
Lineage: Eukaryota; Metazoa; Chordata; Amphibia; Anura; Bufonidae
Gene: DGKA
Gene name: diacylglycerol kinase alpha
Exons: 27
Source: RefSeq, a predicted model, not a curated record
GGAGAGGCGGCCGCACAGAGGGUGUGAGCUGCUCCCUGGAGCCGCUCCAGCCUCUGACUAACCUGCGUUAAUCUCCCCCCCCCCCCCCAGAACAUGUAGCCAUUCUUCUUAGUUACUUCGCUGAAGUUUCACUUCCUGGCAGCGACAUAUUAUUACUUUUCUUCGCCGCCCCCUCCGUCUUCUGCCCGGUUCUGGGCUUUUUAUCUUUCUUUUGUUUUGUUGCCACAUCCUGCCCGAAGAGGAGAAGACACAAGACAGGAGAUAAGGCGGCCACCACUGAGGAGCGCCAGGGUGCCCUCAGUCCCAGCACAUUUUUCUGGUGUAAAUAAAGAUUGAAAUCUAAUCCCAACUACGAACUGCUGUAGAUUUCAGCUUGGAUGCAUGGAUUGCCAGAAGAUGCGCUGAAUUUGUGACAAGGCAUGCGCUUCACCAUAAAUUAAAGAAGCACUCCGGUUUUGCUGAAAACACUGAAGUCCUCACAAGAUUGAUUCAGGGCUGUCGCAGAGCCAGAAUGAGUGAGGAGAACAAGGACUGGGCAAUCCUCAGCCCAGAGGAGUUCACCCAACUGCAGAAGUACAUUGAUUACAGUACCAAAAAGGUUCAAGAUGUUCUGCGGGAGUUCUACGGGGAUGGCACCUCCAGCCCCCACCUAACUGAGGAGUCGAUAGAUUUUGAGGGGUUCAAGAGUUUCUUGAAAGCCUACCUGGAUACAGAUGACAUUUCUCCUGAUCUCUGCAAGCGGCUUUUCAUGUCCUUCCAGGCUGCACCCAAUGUGGAUGGGCAAGGAAAUGAAAUAGAUGGAGCAAAUGAAAUCGGUCGUAUCAGCCUGAAUGAUGUUUCCUGUUACUUUUCCUUGCUGGAAGGGGGUACGGCAGAGGACAAGCUUGCAUUUACCUUUAAGUUGUACGACAAGGACAGCAAUGGACUUCUGGACAGCUCUGAAGUGGAUCGGAUUAUAACACAAAUGAUGAGAGUUGCUGAGUACUUGGACUGGGAUAUCACUGAACUUAAACCGAUGCUGGAAGAGAUGAUGAGACAGGUAGACUAUGAUGGCAAUGGGACGGUUUCCUAUGAAGAAUGGCUGAAAGGGGGACUGACCACGGUGCCCUUACUGGUGCUGCUAGGAAUGGAAGCUAAUAUGAAGGAUGAUGGGCAGCAUUUGUGGCGUCUGAAGCAUUUCAACCGCCCUGUGUAUUGCAACGUUUGUGAAGCUCUGCUCUUUGGGGUCAGGAAGCAAGGCCUGUGCUGCACUUUUUGUAAGUUUACUGUUCAUGAACGCUGUGCUCGUAAAGCGCCGGAUAUCUGCAUCAGCACGUAUGCCAAGUCCCGCAAAGAUGCUAGUGGACAGACUCACGUAUGGGUGAGAGGGGGCUGUGAAGCCAGCAAGUGUGACAAAUGCCAGAAAAAGAUAAAAAGCUUUCAGAGUCUAACUGGUCAGCGCUGUGUCUGGUGCCAUACAAAGGUCCAUGAUGAAUGUGUUUCCAUGAUUCCUCCUACAUGUGAUGGUGGUGUCUUGCGGGACCACAUAUUACCUCCUUCCUCCAUUUAUCCUGUAAUCUUGGAACGACAGAACAGCCAAAAGAAUCUCAUUGCUGCCUCAGAUGAAAUGGCACAGAGCUUCAGUACAGCAGAAGGACAGGCAUUACGGAUUGUACCAAUUUCAGACACACACCCUUUACUUGUCUUUGUCAAUCCGAAGAGUGGAGGAAAACAGGGAGAGAGAGUUCUUCGCAAGUUCCAGUAUCUACUAAACCCUCGACAAGUGCAUAAUCUACUUAAAGGGGGGCCUGCACCUGGUCUCAAUUUCUUCUGGGAUGUUCAAGAUUAUCGGAUUUUAGUGUGUGGUGGGGAUGGCACUGUUGGAUGGAUUUUGGAUGCCAUUGACAAAGCUAAUCUUCCACACAGACCACCUGUAGCUGUUCUACCCCUCGGGACCGGGAACGACCUUGCUCGAUGUCUCAGAUGGGGAGGAGGUUAUGAUGGAGAAAAUCUAGUUAAAGUGUUGAAAGACAUUGAAAAAAGUACAAUAUUGUUGAUGGACCGGUGGAACAUUGAGGUCACACCAGAGAACCCUGAAGAAAAGGGAGACCCUGUUCCAUAUGAGAUAAUCAACAACUACUUCUCUAUUGGAGUGGAUGCUUCCAUCGCUCACCGGUUUCAUGUUAUGAGGGAGAAAUAUCCUGAGAAAUUCAACAGCAGAAUGAAGAAUAAACUCUGGUAUUUUGAGUUUGCCACAUCAGAAACAGUUUUUUCUACAUGUAAAAAAUUGAAGGAGUAUGUGACAAUUGAGUGCUGUGGAUCCCCCUUGGAUCUCAGUUCAGUAUCCCUUGAAGGCAUUGCUGUUAUUAAUAUUCCCAGCAUGCAUGGUGGCUCCAAUUUGUGGGGAGAGACAAGGAAACCUUUGGGUGAACCUCGAAAUGCUUCAUCUCAGAAUCUGCCUGAAGCUAUCACUGAUCCAGAAGCCCUAAAGUCAUGUACUCAAGAUCUUAGUGAUAAGAGGCUAGAAGUUGUGGGAUUGGAAGGAGCCAUUGAAAUGGGACAAAUUUAUACAGGCCUGAAAAGUGCAAGGAAAAGACUGGCUAAAUGUUCAGAGCUUACGAUUCGAACCACAAAGCCGCUGCCAAUGCAGAUUGAUGGGGAGCCCUGGAUGCAGCCACCAUGCACAGGCCUUGGAAUAAAAGGAGAUCUUCUAUCAUUAGUAUAUGCCAUUGGUAUGGUACAAUACCUGGAAUACCUAAACCAAGGAAUAAGACACAAGAAAGCACACUACUACUCCCAGCUCGACACCUGAAUUGGACUGUGGAUUGUUCCAUGUAACCCAGUACUUACUGAUCAGUAGCAGCCUAUCCCAGAUUAAGAUUACACACAAGAACCAGGCACCAAUGAUGUUGGCUCCUCCACCAAGGUCCUCAAGUUUUUUUUCUAAGUAGCAGAUCAAGCUAUGAGACACCCAAUAUCUAUUGUUCAAUGACGACUUCUACCGUAGGAACCAAGUGUCCAUGGACCACGAGCUUAACCUUUACCCUCAGAUUCUUCUUGAUAUAACCAAACUGUAGGGUUGGCCUCUUUGCUAUCACCCAUGAUAGUUCUGACCAUUUUGUUUACCAGCUAAACUGUCAGAGAUCAUUUAUGAGCAGAGCAUCAGAGAAUUAAAAUAUAUAUAUAUAUAUAUAUAUACUGUAUGAUCGAACACAUUGAGAUAUUUAGGUUGUUAUUCUCUAGAUGCCCACUGAGCAUGUUCCUCUUUGCAUUUAGCUUACCUUUUAAAGCUAUUAUACAGUACUUAUAACCGUAUAGUACCAAUUUUAGGAUAAGAUUAGAUUUUACACUGCCUUAUUCCUGGAUAAAAACAAUCAUUACAGAUUGUAUGUACGUUUACAAUAUCUGAUAUUUUUAGAAUACCAAAAUGCUUUAGACAGUAUGCGUAGGAAAUAACAUAUCAUAUAUGAACUUUCCAACAUGUGUAGUAUACAGCAACGUCAUAUGGAGACCAUGAAUUCUUCCUAUAUUUUAUUGCAGUUGACAUGGGUACGAACCACUGGGGACAACAGAUCACAUUGCACUGUUUUUAUUUAUAUUUUUUUUAACUUAUGAUGCUUAUAUUGAGAAUGAAUAUAAAUUUUGCCAAAUUUGAUUUAGAGAAUCAUGAAAGCAGUAGGAAAUAAAAGAAUACAACAUA